UUUGCUGACGAGUGGCGGACGGGUGAGUAAUGUCUGGGAAACUGCCUGAUGGAGGGGGAUAACUACUGGAAACGGUAGCUAAUACCGCAUAACGUCGCAAGACCAAAGAGGGGGACCUUCGGGCCUCUUGCCAUCGGAUGUGCCCAGAUGGGAUUAGCUAGUAGGUGGGGUAACGGCUCACCUAGGCGACGAUCCCUAGCUGGUCUGAGAGGAUGACCAGCCACACUGGAACUGAGACACGGUCCAGACUCCUACGGGAGGCAGCAGUGGGGAAUAUUGCACAAUGGGCGCAAGCCUGAUGCAGCCAUGCCGCGUGUAUGAAGAAGGCCUUCGGGUUGUAAAGUACUUUCAGCGGGGAGGAAGGGAGUAAAGUUAAUACCUUUGCUCAUUGACGUUACCCGCAGAAGAAGCACCGGCUAACUCCGUGCCAGCAGCCGCGGUAAUACGGAGGGUGCAAGCGUUAAUCGGAAUUACUGGGCGUAAAGCGCACGCAGGCGGUUUGUUAAGUCAGAUGUGAAAUCCCCGGGCUCAACCUGGGAACUGCAUCUGAUACUGGCAAGCUUGAGUCUCGUAGAGGGGGGUAGAAUUCCAGGUGUAGCGGUGAAAUGCGUAGAGAUCUGGAGGAAUACCGGUGGCGAAGGCGGCCCCCUGGACGAAGACUGACGCUCAGGUGCGAAAGCGUGGGGGAGCAAACAGGAUUAGAUACCCUGGUAGUCCACGCCGUAACGAUGUCGACUUGGAGGUUGUGCCCUUGAGGCGUGGCUUCCGGAGCUAACGCGUUAAGUCGACCGCCUGGGGAGUACGGCCGCAAGGUUAAAACUCAAAUGAAUUGACGGGGGCCCGCACAAGCGGUGGAGCAUGU
RNAcentral lists this ribosomal RNA (862 nucleotides) under Escherichia coli. RNAcentral's name for it is "bacterial SSU rRNA". It matches the Rfam family "Bacterial small subunit ribosomal RNA", at positions 84 to 942 of the family's 1533-position model. Lineage: Bacteria; Pseudomonadati; Pseudomonadota; Gammaproteobacteria; Enterobacterales; Enterobacteriaceae. The record is from RNAcentral.